GUUUAGCCCCGAUAGAAGCGGCAUCCUUUUGUGGCGGUAUUCGCCAUAAAAGAUACAGCGGAUAGCAGGACGAGAG
RNAcentral lists this small RNA (76 nucleotides) under Flavobacterium cutihirudinis. RNAcentral's name for it is "Flavo-1 RNA". It matches the Rfam family "Flavo-1 RNA". The record is from RNAcentral. Lineage: Bacteria; Pseudomonadati; Bacteroidota; Flavobacteriia; Flavobacteriales; Flavobacteriaceae.